UCAUGGCUUACCAAGGCGACGAUCGGUAGCUGGUCUGAGAGGAUGAUCAGCCACACUGGGAUUGAGAACGGCCCAGACUCCUACGGGGGGCAGCAGUGAGGAAUUUUCGUCAAUGGGGGCAACCCUGAACGAGCAACGCCGCGUGCAGGAUGACGGUCUUCGGAUCGUAAACUGCUUUUCUCGGGGACGAGCAAGGACGGUACCCGAGGAAUCAGCCCCGGCUAACUACGUGCCAGCAGCCGCGGUAAUACGAAGGGGGCUAGCGUUGCUCGGAAUGACUAGGCGUAAAGGGCGGGUAGGCGGAUGGCACAGUCAGAUGUGAAAUACCCCGGGCUUAACCCGGGGCCUGCAGGCGAAACUGUGGUGCUGGAGUAUGGGAGAGGUGCGUGGAAUUCCCGGUGUAGCGGUGAAAUG
This 414-nucleotide ribosomal RNA is filed under the name uncultured soil bacterium. Its description in RNAcentral is "bacterial SSU rRNA". It matches the Rfam family "Bacterial small subunit ribosomal RNA", at positions 258 to 688 of the family's 1533-position model. The record is from RNAcentral.